RNAcentral lists this long non-coding RNA (860 nucleotides) under Equus caballus (horse). RNAcentral's name for it is "lncRNA (ENSECAG00000039485.3)". The record is from RNAcentral. Lineage: Eukaryota; Metazoa; Chordata; Mammalia; Perissodactyla; Equidae.
AUGCAUUACAGUAUUAUUAACUAAAGUCACCAUGCUGUACAUUACAUCCCCAGGACUUAUUUAUUUUGUAACUGGAACUUUGUAACUUUUGAUGACCUUCACCUAUUCCCCCUGAAUUUGUAGUCCGCUUGACAGAAGUGUGGGCAGCCUGGGAACCCAUUGCCACUGGUGUCUGAAGCGGGAGCAGUCCUGUAGGACGGAGCCCUUAACCUGUGGGGUCUGAUGCUAACUCCAGGGUCAAUAAAGGACUUGGAAAUCCCAGUUCAAUUCCACAGGCAAUGUAGACAUCCAAGCACUCAAAAGGAAAGAAUGCCAAGAAAGAGGUAACUGUUCAGAGGAGGCCCUGGCAGGAGAUUGGAAGGUGGGAAGAAGAGAGAGGACAUUUUCUUUCCUUUUGGCUUCAGACAGCACUUUCUGGCAGCAGUAGCAGAAUAUCAGACGACGUUAAGUGGAGCCAUAUCAAAAUAAAGCUGAAGCAGCCAUUUCAGAGGAAUUGCCUUGUACAUCCUGUUUCCUUUAUCUUCUAAAUUGGACCAAACCACCAACAUUCCAAGAAGUCAGUGAGGACAAGAAUAUCCUGUUUGUAAGGACUGAUGAAAUUGGACUUUGCUGAUGACCGAAUCGCUAACUAAUCAAUGAAGUACAAGUCUAACCUUUCCCUGAUGACGGAUUCUCAAGCCAAUCUUUGAAGUGCAAAACCUAGCCUUACCACCUCUAGUACCAAUGAUCUCUUUCUUUAAUUUAACUUACCUUAUCCUCCCUUUUUCCCAUAAAAAUCCUGAGCCCCCCUCCUGUAGUCGGGACACUAUCUGGGUUUCUACAUGAAUCUGUGCUCCCCCAAUUGCAAUUCUUUGAUUGUA